This 90-nucleotide transfer RNA is filed under the name Streptomyces finlayi. RNAcentral describes it as "tRNA-Ala". RNAcentral also lists the same sequence under 1 other name. Lineage: Bacteria; Bacillati; Actinomycetota; Actinomycetes; Kitasatosporales; Streptomycetaceae. The record is from RNAcentral.
GCUCGGUAGGCGGUGCGCAGGUGCUCGGCUGCCUGGCGGGCGGCUUCGGCUUGCUGGCUGUGGUGGCGGGUGCGGUGCCAGUGCUGGGCG